RNAcentral lists this ribosomal RNA (263 nucleotides) under uncultured bacterium. RNAcentral's name for it is "partial 16S ribosomal RNA". It matches the Rfam family "Bacterial small subunit ribosomal RNA", at positions 793 to 1055 of the family's 1533-position model. The record is from RNAcentral.
GUCCACGCUGUAAACGAUGUCUACUAGCCGUUGGGCGACUUGAUCGCUUAGUGGCGCAGUUAACGCGAUAAGUAGACCGCCUGGGGAGUACGGCCGCAAGGUUAAAACUCAAAUGAAUUGACGGGGGCCCGCACAAGCGGUGGAGCAUGUGGUUUAAUUCGAUGCAACGCGAAGAACCUUACCAGGUCUUGACAUCCUAGGAAUCCUGCAGAGAUGUGGGAGUGCCUUCGGGAAUCUAGAGACAGGUGCUGCAUGGCUGUCGU